RNAcentral lists this small nucleolar RNA (84 nucleotides) under Lachancea thermotolerans CBS 6340. RNAcentral describes it as "Small nucleolar RNA snR56". It matches the Rfam family "Small nucleolar RNA snR56". Lineage: Eukaryota; Fungi; Ascomycota; Saccharomycetes; Saccharomycetales; Saccharomycetaceae. The record is from Rfam by way of RNAcentral.
CUUUAUGAUGAAAACAUAUUUUUACACAGACCUGUACUGAGCUUUGCCAUGCAGAUAAACGAAUAUUGCCUUUUAUCUCUGACU